Molecule: long non-coding RNA, 4079 nt
Organism: Mauremys reevesii (Reeves's turtle)
Lineage: Eukaryota; Metazoa; Chordata; Testudines; Geoemydidae
Exons: 2
Source: RefSeq, a predicted model, not a curated record
UGGAGGUCCACCAGUGAGAAACUACCCUGGCCUCAUUCUGAAAGACCCUUAUCAAAUCCUGUUAAUUGCCAACACCGCUGUGAAGUGUCGAAAACUGACUACCUGCCCAUGUUUCUCACUGUAAUGGCUCUCCGACUGAUGAUCGGUCUAUCCUUCCUUCUGGCGUUGUUGCUCCUUCUAAACAGCAGGAGUGAAGGACAAGGUAAAAAUGUGGCAACCUUUCCUUUGUCGGCUGACAGACCCACUGAGCCUUUGAAUCUUGCUGAGAAAACAACCUCUCCACCUAAGGACAUAAUAAAGCCUCCAAGCAGGCAAGGUGAUUGUACUAGUAACCUCUCCCUUGCCGCCUCACUGCCGGACAGCUAAGUGAAUUAAGACUACGAAAUCUCGAAGAAUAGCUUGCGGAAGCUAGCCAAAACUACCUGAAAAUGAAACUUGUUAAAGACACCCUGCCUGAACCUGCGGAUACUUCAUGCCACCUGUUGCAGCCAGGAGAUUGGGUCUACCUUAAAGUGCACCAACGGAAAUCCUCCCUGGCACCUCGGUGGAAGGGCCCUCACCAGGUGCUGUUGGUUACUCACAUGGCAGUCAAGUACCAGGGAUUCCCACGUUGGGUCCAUGCCUCUCACUGUAAAAAGGUUACCCCACCUCUGGAUCCCACUACGGCACCCUUCGUUCCUAAGGUUCAAAAUCAAGUCGCUAAAAAGGACUAUAAUCCAGUAGGACAUUCUUUAACACCUAAGCCCCAGGACGAGGAGCCAAGAUAUAAUCUCAGGAAAAGACUUUAACGGAGAACUAGGAAAAGACUUAUUUCCAAUCUGUUAAGAGACUCAUUGCAAUGGCUGAUCCAAGAGCAAAAAUCAAAGAAUCAGCCAUGGUGCGAAAGUGGCUUAUGCCGUCCCUUUGGUUUAUUUGUGUAACUAUGUUUUUUUAUUGCUUUUGAAUCUUCAUGAUACCCUUAUGUUUUUUUGGAUGUCAGGGAAAGUUAAUGCACCCGUUACCCCGAUCCCUAUAACAUCUUUAAGUCCCCCCUUACGGAAGACCGAACCGAUCUUGUACAAAACAAAACCAACCCCACCCACAAAGCCAUGUCCAGCCCCAGUAAAGAAAAGGAUAGCGCGGUCGGCUGAGGUGAGGAAGGGAAUUACACCUUUGACCAUGAAAGAUAUAGAGAAUUGGCCCUGGUAUAAAGGACGCAAUAUAGUCCACUGGCAGGGGGGAACAUGUGGAAUAUAUUCUUGGGAAUGUGGUACCGAAUGGCUGGCAGGAUUUAUCCCACAAGCUGCACAUUGUACUAAGGGCCAAGUACCAUACCCAUGUCAAACUAUUCCCUACUUGUUAUCGGAACCUAAUCCUUCCUUUUUAACAGCCCCAACAAGACAAAUUGUUCCUACCCUCCAUCCCCGCCCCCACCAAGAACACAACAUGACCUUUGACGAUUUUACAUGGCCUAGGCCCUCUUCUAUUAGCAAUUUAUUUUCUUAUUGUUCAACCAAAUUAGUUUUUUGCUCAAGGCCACCUUUACCAGCGGGUAAUGGAGUGGGAACCUUUGGGAACUGUACGUGUUCAUUCUAUUAACGUUUCUGUUUAUUAUACUACCACACCCACAAAAACCGUUUCCUUUAUGCAACAGUGGGGAAAGGAUACAGAUGCAAUGUUAUUCCCUGGCCUGUGUCAAACCCUUAAUACCCAGGGUACCUUUUGUUUCCUAAUCACCCAGGUGACAGUAGAUGCUGUAACCACCCAUAGACGAUGUUCCACGCAAACCAAAUUUUUGUGCAAAGAAACUUUCCCUCUCACUGAAAAUAUUAUAUGUACUCUUGUUCAAUUUACCCCUACACAUACUGUUAACGAGACCAUAUCUAAGCAGGGUGUACAAGUCCACCCCCAACAGUUGUGGUAUGAACCUUUGGAAACUAUUGAUCCCGAGGGAUUUAAAUGGACUAUACUUAAUGCCACAUUAGGGACUAUUAGGUUUAUAUUGCUUUUGACUCAUUUUCAAAUUGCCACCAUUUAUCCUAAUUGUACCCGGGGGGUGGCCAUCCCACUAGUAUUAUAACGUGUUUGGAUCCAUAAGUCUAGGAAAAGGAGGGAUCUUCCUAACGCAUUGUGGAAGGGGGCAAAUAGUGUUGCCUCCGCUUGGAGUGUCUAUAAGACCUAUCAACAUGAAAAUAGAUUGGGACAAUUGGAACAAGCAGCGGGUUUUAUUACCGGGGCACAGAUCACUGGGAUCAAGGCCGGGGUUGGAGAACUACAUUUAAUCUCCACCCUUAGUGUCAUCACCCACGACAUGUUAAGCCAAAUGAUCCGGAGCGUUUCUGAAGCUGGGAAGGCAUCGCAGUGGGACCACGCAUGUGCAGAGGUACAAGAAUUCCUUAAUGCCCAAUUAAAUUCUAUUCAAGAAGACCUCAAGCACCAAACUUGGCCCACUGCCCUUACAGAUACUUCGGGCGUGCCACCUGACUUAUGACCAUGGAAACAUACAUGGAGAUUCUCAGGAUGGAAUUGCUUAAGCUCAUAUUGCUCCUUCCAGGCUUAUGGUCCUGUGAAAGGUGUUUGGGCCCCCACUUACCGCAUUCUCCCUGGACCUUGGGGAGGUUGCUUGUGGGACUGGGUAAUCCACCGAGAUGUGUGGGAAGUUAAGCCACCCCACGGCCCCAAUCGGUUUUUGCUCGGUGCCACGGAAAUAAGACCUGAUCUUUGGAUAAGAUUGGGUAAUUUGUGGACUUUAUGGCCUUUAGAACCGCCCCAAUUGCAGUGUAUUCGUAAGCUUAGCCCUGGAGAGAUUAUUACUAUACAUGAGCACAUAUGUUGGGAAGGUAGCGGAAACUUAACGAAUCUCGCUCCCCAGCCCAUUAUCCAAUCCAAUAAUAGUUGCAUAAUAGUUAACUCAUUUCACUUAAGGGAUUCAAUUUUUAAUUUAAUUACUGACUCUGGCACGCAUGCAAUUUAUUGGCCGGCGGAAAAAAAAAAUAUCAACUUUUUUUGUCUUUUAUUAUUCCAGUUAAUUGGACUGCCCUAGUAUAUGAUCGAUUUUCCUCUUUAAUGUCUCUUUUAUCACAAAUUCAACACAUUUUUUAACUACAAGGGCGGAUUUACAUCCUUGAAAACAUAUACAACACUGAACUGCAUGCCUUUCAAACAACUCAUAGAGUUACAACUCUCUGUACAGACACAGAUAUCCUUUGUUUUAUUAUUCAAAUUUUAUACUCCCGGACCCAUAGGUACAUUUUAUGGGGUCUCUUAGGCGGAUUGUUGUUGUGUUUUUGUCUUUGUUUUUGUUGUUUUUGUUGUCCCCGUUUAAUACCCAUUUUUUAUAAACCCUCUCCCCGGGUGACCCUCGUUCCAUUGAGAGAAAUAGAUGUGGACCUUUGCCCCCCUGACUCCCUUCUUAACCUGAAUAUACGCCCCAUUGCUGAAAGUAAUUUUUUAGAGAACCUUCAGGAAAUUGAAGUUAUUAACCUAGACAUUCAGGACCUAAUGCAUAUUCAGGUCUAAAUGGGUUGAUGCCUAUGAAAAUAGGCAUCAAAAAGGAGGGGAUGAUAGGGAAAAUUUGCCCCCCCUGUCCAGCCUAGGUUAUUAUUUGCUUGCAGCAUUUAUAGUAUUAGGCCCAAAGGCCUAUAGUCUAGACAACUGUUAUAUAUAAAGCCAAGGUUUGCAUUUCUGCUUUUAAUAUGUUUAUCUGUACAGAGGGCAUUCAGGGAAAAUGAGGAACCAAAAGAAGGAAAUAAGAUAGGAGUGUUCAGCUUGUUUUUGCUUUCUGUAUGAAUUUUAGCUGGCAUAAGUAACCGCAGAGAAGGGGUCUUAAGACUGGCAGACCACCAACGAAAACUGCCCAAAAACAAUGAAAGGAAAAACCAUAUAUGGAAGAAGAUUGCAGUAGCUUGCUUAUGUUAUAAGUGUUACUCCCAAAUAAGGGAAUUUUAAGAAAAUGCUAAUUUGCGGUUUUAACCUAUAUAAGUGUGAUAAGAAUUGAAACAGGCAGAGGGGAGCUUAACCCUUAUAGGGGAAUACGCUACCUCUCUCCCUGCAUGCAUGCUUGUACUCCAAUAAAGUGCCUCAGGCUGCCUGAUUCUAAA